Molecule: unclassified non-coding RNA, 394 nt
Filed under: soil metagenome
Description: partial contains 5.8S ribosomal RNA, internal transcribed spacer 2, and large subunit ribosomal RNA
Rfam family: 5.8S ribosomal RNA (bases 1-122)
Source: RNAcentral
GAUGAAGAACGCAGCGAAAUGCGAUACUUGGUGUGAAUUGCAGAAUCCCGUGAACCAUCGAGUCUUUGAACGCAAGUUGCGCCCGAAGCCAUCAGGUUGAGGGCACGUCUGCCUGGGCGUCACAUAUCGUUGCCCAAUGCCUAUUGCAGUGCAAUAGGAAUUUCUAGGGCGAAUGAUGGCUUCCCGUGAGCGUUGUUGCCUCGCGGUUGGUUGAAAAUCGAGUCCUUGGUAGGGUGUGCCAUGGUAGAUGGUGGUCGAGUUAGAACGAUACCGAUCAUGUGCAUGCUCCCCAAAAUAUGGCCUCUAUGACCCACAUGCGUCUUUUGACGCUCAUGACGAGACCUCAGGUCAGGCGGGGCUACCCGCUGAAUUUAAGCAUAUCAAUAAGCGGAGA